UGGGGAAUUUUGGACAAUGGGGGAAACCCUGAUCCAGCCAUCCCGCGUGUGCGAUGAAGGCCUUCGGGUUGUAAAGCACUUUUGGCAGGAAAGAAACGUCAUGGGUUAAUACCCCGUGAAACUGACGGUACCUGCAGAAUAAGCACCGGCUAACUGCGUGCCAGCAGCCGCGGUAAUACGUAGGGUGCAAGCGUUAAUCGGAAUUACUGGGCGUAAAGCGUGCGCAGGCGGUUCGGAAAGAAAGAUGUGAAAUCCCAGAGCUCAACUUUGGAACUGCAUUUUUAACUACCGGGCUAGAGUGUGUCAGAGGGAGGUGGAAUUCCGCGUGUAGCAGUGAAAUGCGUAGAUAUGCGGAGGAACACCGAUGGCGAAGGCAGCCUCCUGGGAUAACACUGACGCUCAUGCACGAAAGCGUGGGGAGCAAACAGG
This 429-nucleotide ribosomal RNA is filed under the name Acidobacteriota bacterium. RNAcentral describes it as "Acidobacteria bacterium partial 16S ribosomal RNA". It matches the Rfam family "Bacterial small subunit ribosomal RNA", at positions 355 to 776 of the family's 1533-position model. The record is from RNAcentral. Lineage: Bacteria; Pseudomonadati; Acidobacteriota.